UUAAGCCCACCAAGAGGUCUUUGGCAAGGUGAUAACACUAUCCGCACCACCACCUCAAACCUUACUUCUACUACUAAAUUUACACUCUUUAACGACAAUUACGAUAUAGCAAGUUCUAGACAUGUGUUGGGUGAAGAAACAAGGAAAACUGGUACAGCAAUCAUGAACCCCAACUUGUUUUUAGGGUUUUGGUUAUUCAAUUUAAUAGCAUUUGGGCUUCCAGUUCUUCUAACCGUUUUGUUUUUAUCCAAUGUACCUAGUAUUCUUCUCAUCCCGCUUUAUUAUCUAUCCGUCUCCUACUUCAACUGCAUGACAAUAAUAUCUCCUUCCUCGUUUUGGGCAAGCAUCAACUAUGUUAUCAUGUGGGCAGCCAUUGGUCUCCCGUUGCUCUUAGUUGUUAGAAGCGUAUGGUUAUGGAAGCAGCCAAAGUACAGGGAAAUCAGACAAUUACGCAGACUUUUCCGCAAGUAAAAUAAUGUUGGAACCAUUCAACGGUUGCGAAUGUCAAUGUUGUUUAUAUGUUCUCUUACGUUAUGUACUUUUUUCCAUUUUCGGUAAAAAAUUUAUGUAAUUGUUUUGGAUAAAUUUAAUAAAUAAGAUUACUUUUUCCAACAAUAUCUUUGUCCUUUGCAACAGAAAAAAAAAACAUAGAAAAACCAACCAUCCUAUUUUAUAAUUUAAAAGAAUAUUUUCCUUUUUGUAAAAAGAGAUAUUUUCGAAGUAUUGUUAAUUCAAAAUUAACAAAUUUUUUAAUAAAUCGAUAUUAUUCUCUAAAUAUUUUCUAAAAAAAAUACAAAUUCAUAAACAACAGCUAUAUUCUUUUUCGUUGUGAUUUCGGCAAUAUAAGGCCGAAUUAAAUUUGUAAAAAGGGGUUACGAAGAUUGUAUCAAGAAACGAUUAGAAGAAUAUAAAAAAAAACAACACAGAGAAAAAUAGCAAUUUGGAGAGGUGAUUUUCUCUUUGGGAUUUUCUUUUCAUUUUUUCCUUUUGAUUUACUGUUUUUUGCAUAAAACAAAUAGAAAAGAAAAGGAGGAACCAUACCUGGGAGGCGUGCUUGCGAAGCCCUUCCUUGUUCUGUGCAGGGUGCAGAAUGAAGGAGUAGAGGGCUUUUGGGAAGAAGCGGCGCACGCAGGAGAGGAAUAACCUAGGGGUUUUUUUUUUUUUUAAAACCUUUAAAUGGCUUUUAUGCAGCAUACAACACGGCACCGUUUGGAGCCUGAUCAGUGGUUUCAAAACGGUGCCGUAUAGGCCUGUACCCAUGCGCGACCCGAUCCGACCCUGAGAGGAUCCGCGCGUUUUGUAAAUGGUUUAUUUUCUCGUUUGAUCCUUCUUGUUUUUCAAAAUGUGUUUAAUUAUUUUUUUCUUUUUAAAUUCAAUCACAAGUUUUAUUUCUGUUCUAAUUUAAUCCCCUAUCUGUUAUUAGUUAUUUAUUAUUAAUUAUUUUUACUAUUAUUUUUAUUAUUGUAUAAUAUCAUUUUUAUGGUGUUAUUAUUACCAUUACAACCAUAUUUAUGCAUACAUUUUUUUUGAAAUAUACGUACAUUUUUUUUAUAAUUUAUAUAUGUACAUACGUUUUUUAUAUUACACAAUUUAUAUACGUAUCUUUAUAUAUAUUUAAAUACAUAUUACUUUAAUUUUCAUAAAUAUAUAUAUACAUUUACAUUUUAUAAUACAUAUACAUUUUCCAAACUUUAUAGUCCAUACGUAUAUACAUUCAUUUUCUAUAAUAUACAUAUACGUACAUUUUUUGAAAUUAUUAUAAAUAUUUUUUUUUGCAUAUUUCAUUUUUUAUAUACAUAUACUUAUAUAUACAUAUUUUAAUACAUGCAUAUACAUAUUUUCAUAGUUUACUUAUAUAUUAUACUUAUACAUUUUUUAUAUUUUGUAAAUAUAAGCCGACCGAGAGGUCUUUGGCAAGGUGAUAACACUAGUAACCCCACCACCACCUCAAACCUUACUACUACCACUAAAUUUAAACUCUUUAACGACAAUUACGCUGAAAAACUUUCUAAACAUGUGUUGGGUGAAGAAACAAUGAAACCUGGUACAGCAAUCAUGAAUCCCAACUUGUUUUUAGGGUUUUGGUUAUUCAAUUUUAUAGCAUUUGGGCUUCCGGUUCUUCUAACCGUUUUCCUUUUAUACGAUGUAGCUCGUAUUCUUCUUCUCCCGCUUUAUUUUCUAUCCGUCUCCUACUUUAACUGCAUGACAAUAAUAUCUCCGUCCAUGUUUUGGGCAAACCUCAACUUUGUUGUCAUGUGGACAGCCAUUAUUCUCCCGUCUGUCUUAGUUUUUGGAGGCGUAUGGUUAUGUAUGCUGCCAAAGCACCGGGAAAUCAGACAAAUACGCAGACGUGUCCGCAAUGACAAUAAUAUCGGAAUAAUUCAGUACUUGCGAAUGUCAGUCUAACUUAUAUAUUAUAUUUAUGUACCCUUUUCCAUUUUCUCUGUAUUAAUAUCUUUUCUUUUUGAAAAAAGAAAAAACACUAUGUAAUUGCUUUGGAUAAAUUUAAUAAAAACAGAUAUACCUAGAGAUGAUUUGUGGAGGAAGGCAAAUGGGAGAGAGAUCAGACAACAUACAUAGAAUAUGGAAAGAAGAUGUGUUGAAGGAAAUACGGGACCGCAUGUAGGGAAGAAUGCAAGUGAGAUUAUGGCAAAUAAUAAACAACAUGAAGAAAAUGACCCAAUCAAGUUGGACGAGAGGGUGGAAGAUUUAUGAAUUUCCAGAACAAAGUAGUAGAGGGAGCCAUUGAUGGAGAGAACUUGAAGUGGCUUGAAAAAUGUAUUGUGGGUAGAAUGAGAAACAAUGCUACUGUGGGGUUAUGGGGUGAUACUGGAAUUUAUAAAAUUGGAGUCAAAAGAUUAUCGGAUAAUGAUUUGUAUGAAUUGGAAGCCAAUGAAUGGGGAGAUGUUUUGUAAGUGUUCAGAAAGUUGAACGGUGGACCACAAAGAUGAAAGAUUAAGGUGGUUAUCCUGUUACGAGAUUCCAAUACAUGCUUGGUCUUCGAGGAGGAAGUAGUUAAACAACUUGCUGGCUUGCUGCUAUUGAAUAUUAUAAUUGGUUUGAUUUAUUAUUUUUGGUACAAACAAUCAAGACUCAAACAGUCAAUCGACUGUCGGAUAGAGCACGUGCAACCAACCUAACAUAUGAGAAUAUAUCCAGAAGAAGAAACUUAUCCAAGUCCAACCCCCCACAAGUUGCCAAUCGGCUCAUCCCAUUGACCUUUCCACACCUUCGAAUUGAUUGGUGCAAUGCGAGGUCCAAUAUUGGAAGGAGAAUGGAAUCUAAACCGUGGGACCACACUUAAGCCGGCGUCCUAAAUGACUAGAUGCGUGGAAGACGGUGGGUAUUCUUUCACCCAAUAACAUCACUACAUAUACACAAACCAUGUCUGCCCAUCUUGUGGGCUACUUGUGAUAAAACAGGAAAACAAUGAAAAAUAAUAAUAUAAAGAAGAGAAACAAAAUCCACACCUAAUAUAAUUUUUCCUAAAUACAAGAAAACAAGUUUUGGGAUAAAAAAUCAUAUCCAAGAUUAAAGGAUUCAAUUCAUUUAGACUUGAAUGUUAAUUGAAUGAUUAAACAUUCAAAUCUCGUUAAAUUCAUGAACAGCUUUUCAUUAGAUAGAAUAUUCUCUAUUUCUUAAAUUUAAUUCUUUUAUAUUAAGAUCUGUUUGAGACAUUAAAAAUUGGUUUAAUUUACCAAAAUAAUAAUAAUGAGGCCCAUGGUUUUGGAAUCUUUUCUAUGUCACAGCUAUGGCGAUGGGGUCAAGACACAACUGUCCUUUUUUGAGGUCAAAUAAAUUGAUUAAAAAUAUCCACCAAAAUGAUAAGAAUGUACAUAAUUCAUCUUAUUUUUAAACUGAUAUUCCUAAGUAUAUUAUAUAUUUUUAAUACUGAUAUUUCUUAAUAAAUUUGUUUCUAAAUUAAAUAUUUUUUUUCAAAAUCAUCUUAAAGUUUUUGAAACUUAUGUUUGUUUAAAUAUUAAAAUAAUUUUUAAUACACUGCUUGUGGAAAAAGUUUGACAAAAUAUAAUAAAAUAUCAAAAAAAAGACGCAUACCAAUACACAAAAUAUAUUAUCUAUUUUAUAACAUAUUAUUUAAAAUAAAUAUUUUAUUUUCUAAAAGUAAUUUUUUACCGCAAUACCAAAAAUAUAAAUUUUAGAGUAAAAUUUCUGAAAGCGAAGCUGGUCAACUUGCCUUGAAACAGAUGGCGAAAAUGAGUCCAAAUUAUAUCGGAGCGAGAAACAGGGAGUGGGAUUCAAGAUUUUGACGUACUGUAUAGGCGGCCACCGAUUUAUAUCCCUCGUCAUAUAUAGAUAUAUUAAUCAUUUUUUAAAAUUUUCGAUAUUUAUAUUCAAUAUAAAUCUACCCUUGACGGAUUAAUUAGUUUAGUGUAAGCUUGGUUUAAAUCAGUUGAGGUUGCAAAUAAGGAUAGUCAGUUUGCAACUCUCCUAAUAUUUUCAUCAUUUAAAGAAAGAAACAAAAGCAUGGAUCCAAGCUUGAGAGAAGUAGCUGGAACAGGAGAUACUGAUGCCUUGUACGCUCUAAUUCGAAAGGAUCCGUACAUGUUGGAGCAUAUUGAUCAGAUUCCUUUCAUCGAUACUCCACUUCACAUAGCAGCAAAUGAAGGUCAAAUUAAGUUUGCAAUGGAGAUGAUCAACUUGAAGCCUUCGUUUGGUCGGAAGCUAAACCAAGACGGGUUUAGCCUGUUAGAAAUCAAACCCACUCCAAGCAUAAUCUAGAAGCAUGAGACGUGGAGCAAUUUUGUGCUAUGCAAAGUGCUGAAAUUUUAGCCAUACAAAGUGCUCCAUUAUUGAGAUGUUUUGUGGCUGGAAAUUAAGUGGAUUAAUAGCCACAUUUGUUGUCACUUUAUCAGCCUAUAAAUAGAGGCUUGAACUUGUGUUGUAAUGAAGAAAAAUGAGAAGAAAAAAGAAAUAAGAGAAGCAACGUGAGUGAGAGUGAGAAGGUUAGCAAACCUUGAGUGAGUUAAAAUCUAGCAGCAGCUAGACUAUCUAGUCAUUGAGAAAAUAUUUGUAAUCUUCGUAUUGUAAUAUAUUGAGUGUGUAAUAAAAAGUAAAUUUUCGGCCCAUCACGUUUCCAACAAGUGGCAUCAGAGCUACGGUUCGGAGCUUGGUUCGGAGUUCGGUUCGUGUCCGGUUCGUGUCCAGUUCGGAGUACCUUUGGUGUUCAUCUAACAAGUCGAUAUGGGCGACGUAAUUCAGCUACAAGUUCCACAAUUGACGAAGACAAAUUAUGGAAAUUGGAGCAUUCGAAUGAAGGCUUUGCUCGGUUCGCAAGAUUGUUGGGAGAUCGUUGAAAAAGGAUACAUCGAGCCCGGAGAUGCCGCUACAGAAGCAGCUUUAUCAAAUGACGCUAAGAAGGCGUUACGAGAAGCACGAAAGAAGGAUCAAAAGGCCUUGAAUAGUAUCUUUCAAGGAAUGGAUGAAUCAACCUUCGAGAAAAUAUCAGAUGUGAAGAACGCGAAGAAUGCAUGGGAGAUUUUGCAAAAAUCAUUUCAAGGUGUAGAAAAAGCUAAAAAGGUACGCCUUCAGUCACUUAGAGCUGAAUUUGAAAUGUUAAAAAUGAAGAGCUCCGAGAAUAUCGAUGACUAUGCCAAUCGUGUAAAAUCGGUGGUAAAUGAAAUGAAACGAAAUGGAGAAACUCUUGACGAGGUAAGAGUGAUGGAGAAAAUUCUACGGUCACUCACACGCAAAUUCGAGUACGUAGUCGUUGCCAUCGAAGAAUCAAAAGAUUUGUCAAAGAUGUCGCUCGAAGAACUUGUGGGUUCUCUGCAAGCCCAUGAGCAAAAGAUGAAGCUAAAUGAAGAUAGUGAAAAUCUUGAUCAAGCCUUGCAUAGCAAGUUGUCCGUCGACGACGGAGAAACAAGUAAUAACUUUAACCAAGGAAGAGGAAACCGCAGAGGAUACCGUGGAGGCUACCGUGGUGGAAACAGAGGAGGAAGAGGAUCACGAGGACAUGGAAAUCAAUCAUAUGGGAGAUAUCAAGAAAAUAAAGAUUAUCAAACAUCCAACCGUGGACGUGGAUCUAGAGGUCGUGGCCGAGGCAGAUUUCAAGAAAAUAAAUCUCAGGUACAAUGCUACAACUGUAACAAGUAUGGACAUUUCAGUUACGAGUGCAGAUCAACACACAAAGUGGAUGAAAGAAACCAUGUAGCAGUCGCAGCAGAAGGCAACGAAAAAGUGGAAUCAAGUGUCUUUCUCACUUACGGAGAAAAUGAAGAUCGCAAGAGAAGUGUGUGGUAUCUCGACAACGGUGCAAGCAACCACAUGUGUGGAAGAAAGGAGCUGUUCACAGAAUUAGAUGAAACAGUUCAUGGACAAAUAACUUUUGGAGACAACUCACAUGCAGAAAUCAAAGGAAAGGGCAAGGUUGUUAUAACACAAAGGAAUGGAGAGAAGAAGUACAUCUCAGACGUUUACUACGUACCAGCUUUGAAGAGCAACCUGAUCAGUCUUGGUCAACUCCUAGAAAAAGGAUAUGAAGUUCAUAUGAAAGACCGCUCACUCGCCAUCAGGAACAAAAGUGGAGAAUUAGUUGUUCGAGUUGAUAUGACGCGAAAUCGUCUUUUCACCCUCGACAUCGAGUCUGGAGAAGUAAAAUGCAUGAAGACGGAUCUGAAGAAUGAAUCAUGGUUGUGGCACUUAAGGUACGGACAUCUCGGAUUUUCUGGCUUGAAGCUGUUGUCGAAGACAAAUAUGGUGAAUGGAUUACCAAGUAUUAAUCAUCCAGAUCAACUGUGUGAAGCCUGUGUCAAAGGAAAGCAGCAUAGGCAGAAAUUUGAAGUAGGAAAAUCUCGAAGAGCUAGAAGACCAUUGGAAAUUGUACACACCGACAUAUCUGGUCCGUACGACAUUGAAUCACUCGGUGGAAACAGGUACUACCUAACUUUUAUUGAUGAUUAUAGCAGAAAAUGUUGGGUUUAUUUUCUCAAAGCAAAAUCGGAAGCCCUAGAAAAAUUCAAGGAGUUCAAAGCAAUGGUGGAAAAACAGAGUGGUCGAUAUUUGAAGAUACUCAGAUCCGAUAGAGGAGGCGAGUAUACUGCAAAGCUUUAUGAAAGUUUCUGCAAGGAUCAUAGAAUCAUUCAUUAGUUAACAGUCAGACGCACUCCACAACAAAACGGAGUUGCAGAAAGGAAGAAUCGGACAAUUCUGGAUAUGCCAAGAAGCAUGAUAAAAGGUAAACACCUUCCGAGAACUUUCUGGGCUGAAGCCGUUGAAUGCGCAGUUUAUCUGUUGAAUCAAUGUCCAACAAAAAGUGUAAGACACAAGACACCAGAAGAAGCAUGGAGCGGUCACAAGCCAAGAGUUGGACACCUCAAAAUUUUUGGAUGCAUUGCAUAUGCACACGUUCCUGAGCAACAGAGGAAAAAGCUUGACGAUAGAGGAGAGAAGUGUAUCUUUAUAGGCUAUGACAAAAGAAGUAAGGCCUACAGACUUUAUAAUCCUCUUACUAAGAAAUUGAUUAUCUCAAGAGAUGUCGAGUUCGAUGAAGCGGAUUACUGGAGAUGGAGUGAAGAAGAAAAGAAAGUGGAAGGAUUAUUUUUCAACGAAGACGACAAUAACCAAGAAGAACAAGGCGAUGAUCAAAGUCCUGGUACAACAGCCCCUUCGUCACCAACCAGCAGCAGCGGAAGCAGCAGCUCAGAUGAAGCACCCACAAGAACACGGAGUCUCAACGACAUCUACAAUUCUAUGGAACCUGUAGAGACGCAGUUCGAUUAUUCACUAUUCUGUCUAAUGACAGAAUGUGAUCCAGUGACGUACGAAGAAGCAAUUGAAAACAAUAAAUGGAAGAAGGCCAUGGACGAGGAGAUUGCUGCAAUAAGAAGGAAUGACACGUGGGAGCUAACAAGUCUGCCAGAAGGACAUAGCCCGAUUGGUGUCAAGUGGGUGUACAAGACGAAGACCAACAAAGAAGGAAAAGUAGAGAAAUACAAGGCAAGAGUAGUCGCCAAAGGCUACAAGCAAAGACAAGGAGUGGACUAUGAUGAAAUAUUUGCUCCAGUCGCAAGAAUAGACACAAUUAGGCUUCUCAUAGCGGUCGCAGCACAAUACAAAUGGAAAAUCUAUCAGAUGGACGUCAAGUCUGCAUUCCUGAAUGGCUACUUGGAGGAGGAAGUCUACAUAGAACAACCACCUGGAUAUAGCAUACAAGGAAAGGAGGACAAAGUCUACCGAUUGAAGAAAGCUUUGUAUGGAUUGAAGCAAGCCCCAAGAGCAUGGAACACAAGGAUCGACGAGUACUUCCGAAGAAAUGGAUUCAUCAAAAGCCCGCACGAGCACACCCUGUACACAAAGAAGAAUGGAUAUGGAGAUAUCAUGAUCGUAUGCCUAUAUGUGGAUGACAUGAUCUUCACCGGAAACAAUCCAGGUAUGUCUGAUGAUUUCAAGAAAGCUAUGACUAAAGAAUUUGAAAUGACAGAUAUCGGUGAGAUGUCAUACUUUCUUGGAGUCGAGGUGAAACAAAUGCAAGAUGGAAUUUUUGUCUCUCAAAAGAAGUAUGCGGAGCAGAUUUUGAACAAGUUCAAAAUGAAGGAUUGCAAGCCAGUAGUCACGCCAGCUGAUCCAGGGAUGAAGCUAAGUGUUGAUUCGACAAGGGAGUCGAUAAAUCCGACGUUGUUUAAAAGUCUCGUUGGAAGUUUAAGGUAUUUGACAAUCACACGACCAGAUAUUACAUAUGCAGUAGGAUUGGUGAGCAGAUUCAUGGAGAAGCCAAAGCAAGACCACUUAAUUGCCGCAAAAAGAAUUUUGAGAUAUAUCAAAGGUACGAUGAACCAUGGUUUAUUCUAUACCCACUCACAAGAUUCAAAAUUAGUUGGCUACUCAGAUAGCGAUUAUGGGGGAGACUUGGAUGAUCGGAAAAGCACUUCCGGAUAUGCAUUCCACAUCAGUUCCGCAGUUUUUUCAUGGUCGUCAAAGAAGCAACAAACAAUUGCUCUCUCAACAUGUGAAGCAGAGUAUAUGGCCGCAGCAACUUGUACAUGCCAAGCAAUGUGGUUGAAGAAUAUUUUGGGAGAAAUAGGUGUUUCAAAUGAAGGUCCAAUUACCAUCUACGUUGACAACAAAUCCGCUAUAUCACUUGCCAAGAAUCCGGUGUCGCACAGCCGAAGCAAGCACAUCGAUACGAAGUAUCAUUUUAUCCGAGAGCAAGUGAAAAACAAAAACGUGGAGUUGGUCCAUUGCAGGACAGAAGAUCAACUGGCAGAUAUUUUCACAAAGCCGUUGAAAGUGGAGACAUUCAACAAAUUCAAAGAGAAGCUCAGUAUGAAAGUUGGGUUUGAGGGGGAGUGUUAGAAAUCAAACCCACUCCAAGCAUAAUCUAGAAGCAUGAGACGUGGAGCAAUUUUGUGCCAUGCAAAGUGCUGAAAUUUUAGCCAUACAAAGUGCUCCAUUAUUGAGAUGUUUUGUGGCUGGAAAUUAAGUGGAUUAAUAGCCACAUUUGUUGUCACUUUAUCAGCCUAUAAAUAGAGGCUUGAACUUGUGUUGUAAUGAAGAAAAAUGAGAAGAAAAAAGAAAUAAGAGAAGCAACGUGAGUGAGAGUGAGAAGGUUAGCAAACCUUGAGUGAGUUAAAAUCUAGCAGCAGCUAGACUAUCUAGUCAUUGAGAAAAUAUUUGUAAUCUUCGUAUUGUAAUAUAUUGAGUGUGUAAUAAAAAGUAAAUUUUCGGCCCAUCACGUUUCCAACAUAGCCCCAUGCACUUGGCCCUCCAAAUGGGGCAUACCAAGCUAGUGCUUCGACUGUUGAAGACCGAUAAAGACCUGGUUCGCGUCAAAGGAAGGGAAGGGAUGACCCCUUUCCAUUGUGCAGCUGCAGUGGGGAACUCUAAAUCUUUUAUUCCACUUCCUUGAAACUUGCCCUGAAUGCGUUGAGGAUGUCACGGUUCGUAACGAGACUGCAUUACAUCUUGCUCUGAAAAACGACCACACCGACGCUUUUAAUCUCUUACAUGGAUGGCUUCGAAAAAACCGUCGUGGAGGAGGCAAUGGUUUGGAAAGAAAGGUUGUGAAUUGGAGAGAUGAUGAUGAUAACACUGUGUUGCACAUUGCAGCUACAAAGCAACAACAUCAGGUAUAUAUGCAAUAUAAUGAUAAGUUGCGUUCCUUUGAUCAUUUUAUUAAUGAUUAUUUAUAAUAUUCUACGCAGGCAGUACAACUGUUGUUGGAUUCCUUUUAUGGGUUAGAUGCAAACGCUAAGAAUUCGGAAGGCUUGACAGCUCGAGAAAUCAUAGAAAGGGUUGAAAGACAAGGGUUGAACAUGAGUGGCGCCGAAGACGAUGAUACCACCACCGCCAAGAUUGAGCGCAUUAAGAAAAGAACUAGUAGGUCUGAAAGAGCAUUAGUAAAGUUGAUUCGGGCAAGGAAUGGGUUGUCAGAGAACAUGCUCAACGCAACACUGGUGGUAGCGGCGCUGGUCAUAACAGCAAUCUACCAGUCAUCUUUAAGUCCACCAAGAGGUCUUUGGCAAGGUGAUAACACUAGUAUCCCCACCACCACCUCAAACCUUACUACUACUACUAAAUUUAAACUCUUUAACGACAAUUACAGUGAGUAUCGUUUUAAAUUUCUGUUGGGUGAAGAAACAAGGAAAACUGGUACUGCAGUCAUGAAUCCCAACUUGUUUUUAGGGUUUUGGUUUUUCAAUUUUAUAGCAUUUGGGCUUCCAGUUCUUCUAACCGUUUUGCUUUUAUCCAAUGUACCUAGUAUUCUUCUCAUCCCGCUUUAUUAUCUAUCCGUCUCCUACUUUAACUGCAUGACAAUAGUAUCUCCUUCCACGUUUUGGGCAAACCUCAACUUUGUUGUCAUGUGGACAGCCAUUCUUCUCCCGUUGCUCUUAGUUGUUAGAAGCGUAUGGUUAUCGAAGCAGCCAAAGUACAGGGAAAUCAGACAAUUACGCAGACUUUUCCGCAAGUAGAAUAAUGUUGGAAUCAUUCAACGGUUGCGAAUGUCAAUGUAGUUUAUAUGUUCUAUUAUGUUAUGUACUUUUUUCCAUUUUCUCUGGAUUAAUAUCUUUUCUCUUCGGUAAAAAAAUUAUGAAAUUGCUUUGGAUAAAUCUAAUAAAUAAGAUUAGUUUUCCCAACAGAUCAUAUCUUUGUCCGUUGCAACCAAAGAAAAAAAAACAAAGAAAAACCAACCAUCCUAUUUUCUAAUUUAAAAAAUUAUUUUCCUUUUUGUGAAAAGAGAUGUUUUCGAAGUAUUGUUGAUUCAAAAGUAACAAAUUUUUCAACAAGUCGAUAUUUUUCUCUAAAUAUUUUCUAAAAAAAUGACAAAUUCAUAAACAACAGCUAUAUUCAUUGUAUUCAAAUGAAUCUUAAUAAAACCCUGUUCAUCAUUGAUGUCUAAAAGGAUUUUUUAUCCCAUUUCAAGCUAAAAGCAACUAUUUUUUUAAAAGCCAAAUUAGCUUUUCAAAACCAUCUUUUUUAAGUCAAAUCAAAAACUUCAAAUUUCGUUUUUACUUUUCUAAAGCUAGUUUUGAGUGUCUAAAUACAAUUUUAUCUCUCAUUUAUAUUAACUAUAUAAGCUAAAUAUAAUUUAAAUUAAAUUUUACAAAUAAUUUAUAUUAAUUACUUAAAAAUAACUCAAAUUAAUAUUUCGUAGAUUAUAAUAUUAACAAUGAGUAAUAAUAAAUAAAUUUAUUAUAUUUAUAAUAUAAUCUAAGUUGAAUAUUGUUGAUACCAAAAUAAUAAUAAUAAUAAUUUACAUUUGUGGUUGAUGAUAACCUUUCUAAAUUUCGUUUAAUAUAUGAUUUAUGCAAAUAAGAUUGGCAACUUAAGUUUCGACACGUCCCGCAAAAGUAUAAUAGACCGGCAAAUUGCAUUGUCAAAGUUGUUCCUAAUGAUUUAAAUAGGCCACAUGAUCAUGCUUGAUUUUUGUUUGAAAAAGAUGCUCAUCGAGCAAUGGUUAAUGUAGGCUCCCGUCAAUAGCUAGUUCCUUAAACUUGUGUAUUUUCUACAAAAAAGAUAUAUUUUACAUUUGUGUCAAUUCCAAUGGCUAUGCUUGGCUCGUAACGUAUUUUGAGCCUUGUCUUUUAUGGUUCUACAAAUGGGUGUUAAAUCCAUCAAAAACAAUAUUCAUAAGCCUGAACAAUAAAUAAAUAACAGCACAAAUAGUAGAGUCAAUCCCAUAGAAAAUAACUAUCGAGAUUGGUUAAGAUUGUUUUUUCAUCUUAUUAGACCCAUCACUUUGCAUCAUUCUUUUACUUAAGGUCGAGCAAUUAAGACAUACUUCAUAACUAAUUUUUUCCUAAUUUAUUCAUAACUAACUAAUUUUCAAGUAAGUGAUAGUUAGUGGUUCAUGUCAUUUUGCAACUCUCCUAAUUUAUUCAUCACUUGCAUUAUUUAAAAGAGUGCUAUAUAAUCAUUUUGCAACUCUCCUAAUGUAUAUAUAUACGGUGAUAAGUUGCGUAUAUCCCUUUGAUAAUUUAUUAAUGGCUGUUUCUACGCAGGCAAUGGAACUGUCGUUAGAUUCCUUUUGGUCGUUAGAUGUAAAAGCUAACAACUCGGAAGGUUUGACAGCUGGAGAAACCAUUGCAAAAGGUUAAAAGACAAGGCUUGAACGUGAGUGGCGAAGAGGAUGAUACCACUGCCAAGAUUAAUCGCAUCAAGAAAAAAACUAGUUGGAUUGAAAGAGUAUGUAGUAUGUACAACGAGGAUUCGUGCAAGGAAUGAAUUAUCGGAGAACAUGAUCAAUGCAACCCCGGUGGUUACGACGCUGGUUAUAACAGCAAUCUACCAAUCAUGUUUAAGUCCACCGGCAGGUGCUCGGCAAGAUGAAGGUGAUCACAGUAUCUCCAUCUCAAACACUACUCUUCCCCUCGCUGUCAACAAACACGAUGAAUCCUUUUUGGGUCUAGGAUCAAGACAAAUUGGUACAACAAUAAUGAAUCCUCUAUGGUAUUUAUUGUUUUGGUUUAUUAAUAUUUUAGCAUUUGAGCUUCCUGUUCUUAUAACAGUUUUGGUGCUCACUAAUGUUCCUUUUGUACUUCUCCCGCUUUCUUAUCUAAGCGUGUCUUAGUAUUACUCGAUGGCAACAAUAUCACCCAUGAUGAUGUGGGCAAUAGUCAACACCAUUCUCACGAUAAUAGUUUCUUGGCUCCCGACUUUCGUUUAUUUUAAAGUCAUACAAUCAUAUAUGUCCCAAAAUUCCAAGUAGUUCAAACACUUACGUAGAGUUUUUCGUAGUGACAGCAAUGUCGGAGUCAUUCAACGCUUGAAAAGGACAAUCUAGUUUAUAUUGUACUAUACUUUAUGUACUUAUAUAUAUACACAUAUGUAUAAAAAAAUAUGAAAUAUGCAUUUAUAUAUAUACACAUGUAUAUAAAAAAAUUAAGAAAUAAAAAAAUGUAAAGUAUGUAUAUAAAAAAAUUGAAAUAUGCAUUUAUAUAUAUACACAUAUGUAUAGAAAAAUAUGAAAUAUAUAAAAAUAUAUGAAUGUGUGCGAGUAAUAUACAUAAAAGUAUAAACGUAUAUAUACUUAUCAUAAAAUAGGUAUGCGUAUAUAAACAUAUUUUGAAACUAUAAGAUAUGUAAAACACAUUUAAUGUCAAACGUACACACAUAUGUGUAAUGAGAUAUAUGUAUAUGUAUUUACAAAAUAAAAAAAAUAUAUAAGUAUAAUAUAUAUAAGUAAAUUAUGAAAAUAUAUGUAUGUAUAUAUUAAAAUAUGUAUAUAUAAGUAUAAUAUGUAUAUAAAAAAAUGACAUAUGCAAAAAAACAAAUAUAUAUUUAUAAUAAUUUAAAAUAAUAAUAAAAAUGUAUGUAUAUACGUAUUAUAAGAAUGUAUGCAUGUAUUUAGGAUUAUAAAAUAUGAAAAUAUAUGCGCAUAUGUAUAUGUAUUAUAAAAUGUACAUAUAUAUUUUAAAAUUAUAAAACACAAAACAAACAAAAACAAAUGUAUGUACGUAUAUGAAAUAUAAAAUGUAUAUGCAUAUAUUAUAAGAAGUAUGCACAAAUACAUGGUUAUAAUAAUAAUAAUAAUAAUAAUAAUAAUAAUGAUGCAAUAUAACAGUAUUAAUAAUAUAUUAAAAUACUUAAAAAACCCAAAAAGACAGAUUAAGGAUUAAAUUGAAAAUAAACGGAGUUUGGGGGCCGAAUUAAAAAAUGGAAAACACAAAAAGGGACCAAAUCAUAAAGCGCGAAACAGGAAGAAGACCCAAAGGGAAAUAUCCCCAAGCUAAUCCAACGGCGUCGUUCUAGUGAGACCUAUGCGCAUGGUCUAUGGACCAAAUUGAAACAAGAGAGAAAUUUUGUGGCCAAAAUUGAAAAUAUGUGAAAAAAACUUCAUUGAAGAUGGCACAAAAGAAAGGGGACCGAUUGCGAAAAUAUCUCCACCAGCGAAAACACGCGGGUCACCUAGGCCUGUCGGGUCACACACGCGGGUAUAGGCCUAUACGGCGCCGUUUUGGGGCCACUGAAACAGGCCUAAACGACGCCGUUUCAUGCCCUUAUAUAAAAAUCAAAAAUUUUCUAAAGGAUUCAUUUUUUUCCCUUCUUUUACAGAAAACAGAUGAACCCUCUGCUAGGAUUCUCAUUUCCCUUUGCCGCCGCCGCCAAGAGGACCGUCCCACAGCUUCCGUUGCCGCCCCAGUCUCUGAUUGCGACGAAGAGGGGAAAGAUUCAACAAUACUAGGUAAAUUUUUCACCUCUUAAUCUUUUCUUUUUCCUUUUUUACACACGAUGAAUAAACAAAAAGAUUCAAAAAUAGAAACAAACAAUCGUUGCAAAAAAUCACCUCCAGUAUACUGUUUUUUUAUUUUCUUCUAUUUUUUCUGUAUCAAUCCGUUUUUCUCUUUUCAAUCCCCCCAUUUACGAAAAAAAAACCCCUUUUAUCACUUUUUUAUCUUUCUGUUAUGCUAACGUGCUCGCGGUUUGUGGUUUGUUGCUGGAAGAUCGUGCAUGGUGGGCGACGUGCUGCGAUGUUGGGACGUGGGUGAGGUUGCUGCGGCUGCUGGUUUUGCUGCUAGCUGCUAGGGUUUCUAAAACUUUAGGCUAAUUGGGCCUAGUAAUUGGAUUAGGAUUGGCCCAAAUUUUAUUGGAUUUGUAAUUGUAUUUAGUUUUAGUAUUUGAUUUGGGCCCUGGGCAAUAAUUGGGUAUUACACCCUUGACGGAUUAGUUUAGUGUAAGCUUGGUUUAAAUCAGUUGAGGUUUCAAAUAAGGAUAGUCAGUUUGCAACUCUCCUAAUUUCUUCAUCAUUUAAAGAAAGAAACAAAAGCAUGGAUCCAAGCUUGCGAGAAGUAGCUGGAACAGGAGAUACUGAUGCCUUGUACGCUCUAAUUCGAAAGGAUCCGUACAUGUUGGAGCAUAUUGAUCAGAUUCCUUUCAUCGAUACUCCACUUCACAUAGCAGCAAAUGAAGGCCAAAUUAAGUUUGCAAUGGAGAUGAUCAACUUGAAGCCUUCGUUUGGUCGGAAGCUAAACCAAGACGGGUUUAGCCCCAUGCACUUGGCCCUCAAAAUGGGGCAUACCAAGCUAGUGCUUCGACUGUUGAAGACCGAUAAAGACCUGGUUCGCGUCAAAGGAAGGGAAGGGAUGACUCCUUUCCAUUGGGCAGCUGCAGUGGGGAACCCUAAUCUUUUAUUCCACUUCCUUGAAACUUGCCCUGAAUGCGUUGAGGAUGUCACGGUUCGUAACGAGACUGCAUUACAUCUUGCUCUGAAAAACGACCACACAGACGCUUUUAAUCUCUUACAUGGAUGGCUUCGAAAGAACCGUCGAGGAGGAGGCAAUGGUUUGGAAAGAAAGGUUGUGAAUUGGAGAGAUGAUGAUGACAACACUGUGUUGCACAUUGCAGCUACAAAGCAACAACAUCAGGUAUAUAUGCAAUAUAAUGAUAAGUUGCGUUCCUUUGAUCAUUUUAUUAAUUAUGACUAUUUAUAAUAUUCUACGCAGGCAGUACAACUGUUGUUGGAGUCCUUUUAUGGGUUAGAUGCAAACGCUAAGAACUCGGAAGGUUUGACAGCUCGAGAAAUCAUAGAAAGGGUUGAAAGACAAGGGCUGAACAUGAGUGGCGCCGAAGACGAUGAUACCACCACCGCCAAGAUUGAGCGCAUUAAGAAAAGAACUAGUAGGUCUGAAAGAGCAUUAGUGAAGUUGAUUCGUGCAAGGAAUGGGUUGUCGGAGAACAUGCUCAACGCAACACUGGUGGUAGCGGCGCUGGUCAUAACAGCAAUCUACCAGUCCUCUUUAAGCCCACCAAGAGGUCUUUGGCAAGGUGAUAACACUAUCCCCACCACCACCACAAACCUUACUACCACUACUAAAUUUAAACUCUUUAACGACAACUACAGUGAGUAUCGUUUUAAAUUUCUGUUGGGUGAAGAAACAAGGAAAACUGGUACAGCAAUCAUGAAUCCCAACUUGUUUUUAGGGUUUUGGUUUUUCAAUUUUAUAGCAUUUGGGCUUCCAGUUCUUCUAACCGUUUUGCUUUUAUCCAAUGUACCUAGUAUUCUUCUCAUCCCGCUUUAUUAUCUAUCCGUCUCCUACUUUAACUGCAUGACAAUAAUAUCUCCUUCCACGUUUUGGGCAAGCAUCAACUUUGUUGUCAUGUGGACAGCCAUUCUUCUCCCGUUGCUCUUAGUUGUUAGAAG
RNAcentral lists this long non-coding RNA (16597 nucleotides) under Gossypium barbadense (sea-island cotton). Its description in RNAcentral is "long non-coding RNA (GBAR_LNC018934)". The record is from RNAcentral. Lineage: Eukaryota; Viridiplantae; Streptophyta; Magnoliopsida; Malvales; Malvaceae.